Molecule: ribosomal RNA, 709 nt
Filed under: uncultured bacterium
Lineage: Bacteria
Description: bacterial SSU rRNA
Rfam family: Bacterial small subunit ribosomal RNA
Source: RNAcentral
UGCAGUCGAACGAGACCUUCGGGUCUAGUGGCGCACGGGUGAGUAACGCGUGGAAACCUACCAUUCUGUACGGAAUAACGAUUGGAAACGAUCGCUAAUACCGUAUACGCCCUGUGGGGGAAAGGUCCGCCGCAGAAUGAGGGGUCCGCGUCCGAUUAGCUUGUUGGUGGGGUAAAAGCCUACCAAGGCGAUGAUCGGUAGCUGGUCUGAGAGGAUGAUCAGCCACACUGGGACUGAGACACGGCCCAGACUCCUACGGGAGGCAGCAGUGGGGAAUAUUGGACAAUGGGGGCAACCCUGAUCCAGCAAUGCCGCGUGUGUGAAGAAGGCCUUAGGGUUGUAAAGCACUUUCAAUGGUGAAGAUGAUGACGGUAGCCGUAAAAGAAGCCCCGGCUAACUUCGUGCCAGCAGCCGCGGUAAUACGAAGGGGGCGAGCGUUGGUCGGAAUUACUGGGCGUAAAGGGCGCGCAGGCGGCCAAUCCAGUCAGGUGUGAAAGCCCCGGGCUUAACCUGGGAACUGCACUUGAUACUGAAUUGGCUAGAAAACGGAAGAGGGCAGUGGAAUUCUCCCGUGUGAGAGGUGAAAUUCUGUAGAUAUUGGGAAAAAACACCCAGUGGCGAAAGCGGGCUGCCUGGGUCCGAUUUUUGACGCUGAGAGCGCGAAAGCGUGGGUAGCAAACAGGAUUAGAUACCCUGGGUAGUCCACGCC